Hevea brasiliensis (rubber tree) is the source of this 937-nucleotide long non-coding RNA. RefSeq lists it as uncharacterized. The record is from RefSeq and is a predicted model, not a curated record. The transcript is spliced from 2 exons. Lineage: Eukaryota; Viridiplantae; Streptophyta; Magnoliopsida; Malpighiales; Euphorbiaceae.
AAAGGCUCUCUCUUCAGUUAAUGACUCACAAGUUUCGGUUUUCAUUUCAUUUCUUAUUAUGGUCUCAGAGCAAUAACUGCUCAUUUGCAUUUGAGAUCUGAAUCUGUUUUUCAGUUUUUGUUCAAUUUUCCCUCAUUUUCUAUUUGUUUCUCAUCCGUUUCUUGAUCAAGAUUGUUAAUCAAAGUUCGUGGCAACUGAAUCUACUUCUCUAUCUGCAAAAUCAAGCUCCGGAUCAUUUGACAAAUUCAUCUAAUCCAUAUUUUCUGCAUCCAAGUGAGAAACUAGCCUCGAUUCUCGUAUCUCCAGUUUUUACUGGCCCCCAUUGCCAUUCAUGUGCAAGAGCUAUGACGAUGGCAUUGCAAUCCAAGGAUAAAUUGAAGUUCAUUGACAAAUCUCUAGAGAUGCCAACAAGCACUAAUCCUUUGUUUUCUUCUUGAGAAAGGUAUUUUAGAUCUGCAAGAAGAGAUUUACAGUUUCAAACAAGGUGAUUUACUUGUCACUGAUUACUUCACUCCAUUGAAGAUCUUGUGAGAUGAAUUGGAUAAUUUUAGGCCAAUACUUCAGUGCUCAUGUCCUGUUCAAUGUAAAUGUGAUGCACUUAUAGUUUUUCUUCUCCAGGAGCAGAUAACAAAAGAUGUGAUACUCAGAAUAUACCAAAGUCUGCACCUACUGUGGUAAGCCACAUCACACUGAAGAAAUUUGCUAUAAGAAACAUGGAUUUCCACCUAGUUUUAUGUUUAGAAAUUCUUCUGGUGUAACCAUCAGUAAUGUCUAUUUUGACUCCAUUAAAAAUUGUGACAAAUAUGCUAGUCCUGAUAGAUCAUAAGAAGAACAUGAGAACACAUGCUUUGUUUUAGCUCCAUAAUAGUGUCAACGUUUACUGGCCCUGAUCCGACCAUCUAAUUCUAAUCAAGGCUAUGUUUGUUUUGAUGGAAAA